CAGUAGCCACGGUAAUACGUAGGGUGCAAGCGUUAAUCGGAAUUACUGGGCGUAAAGCGUGCGCAGGCGGUUAUAUAAGACAGAUGUGAAAUCCCCGGGCUCAACCUGGGAACUGCAUUUGUGACUGUAUAGCUAGAGUACGGCAGAGGGGGAUGGAAUUCCGCGUGUAGCAGUGAAAUGCGUAGAUAUGCGGAGGAACACCGAUGGCGAAGGCAAUCCCCUGGGCCUGUACUGACGCUCAUGCACGAAAGCGUGGGGAGCAAACAGGAUUAGAUACCCCUGUAGUCCCUGUCUCUUAUAC
RNAcentral lists this ribosomal RNA (301 nucleotides) under uncultured bacterium. RNAcentral's name for it is "partial 16S ribosomal RNA". It matches the Rfam family "Bacterial small subunit ribosomal RNA", at positions 509 to 807 of the family's 1533-position model. The record is from RNAcentral.